This 549-nucleotide long non-coding RNA is filed under the name Salmo salar (Atlantic salmon). RNAcentral's name for it is "lncRNA (ENSSSAG00000114181.1, ENSSSAG00020029287.1)". Lineage: Eukaryota; Metazoa; Chordata; Actinopteri; Salmoniformes; Salmonidae. The record is from RNAcentral.
CUCUGGCAUGACGUGACACUUCCUACGGCUCCCAUGGGCUCUCUAAAGCCGCCAGAAAGUGGAAUGGGGUGUCUGCUGUCUCUGGGCGAAGAACAGCAGGAGAAUUUGUGAGUGGUCAGCCUGGGGACAGUGACACUGGAGAUGUGCGUUCAUGAGAAUUCUCCAUUUUUUUCUUUCAGCCUUUGAAUGAAUACAACGUUGCCCGGUUGGAAUAUUAUCGCUUUUACGAGAAAAAUAGCAUAAAAAUAGAUUUUAAACAGCGUUUGACAUGCUUCGAAGUACGGUAAUGGAAUAUUUUGAAUUUUUUGGUCACGAAAUGCACUCGCGCGUCACCCUUCGGAUAGUGACCUGAACGCACAAACAAAACAGAGCUAUUUGAAUAUAACUAUGGAUUAUUUGGAACCAAAACAGCAUUUGUUGUUGAAGUAGAAGUCCUGGGAGUGCAUUCUGACGAAGAACAGCAAAGGCCCAUGACCUCUCCCUGUCUCAUCGAUGGCCAUCUGGCAUACACAGUAAGACACCUCCUGAAUGUUCGACCUUGGGGCAGGG